RNAcentral lists this ribosomal RNA (1060 nucleotides) under Fragilariopsis kerguelensis. Its description in RNAcentral is "partial Bacterial small subunit ribosomal RNA". It matches the Rfam family "Bacterial small subunit ribosomal RNA", at positions 1 to 1064 of the family's 1533-position model. The record is from RNAcentral. Lineage: Eukaryota; Bacillariophyta; Bacillariophyceae; Bacillariales; Bacillariaceae.
ACGGAGAGUUUGAUCCUGGCUCAGGAUGAACGCUAGCGGCAGGCCUAACACAUGCAAGUCGAGGGGCAGCAUAGAUUGCUUGCAAUCUGAUGGCGACCGGCGCACGGGUGAGUAACGCGUAUGCAACCUGCCUUCUACAGGAGGAUAGCCCCCGGAAACGGGGAUUAAUACUCCAUAGUAUUGCGUCAACACAAGUUGAUGUUCUUAAAGCUUCGGCGGUAGAAGAUGGGCAUGCGUCCUAUUAGCUUGUUGGUAAGGUAACGGCUUACCAAGGCAUCGAUAGGUAGGGGGCCUGAGAGGGUGGCCCCCCACACUGGUACUGAGACACGGACCAGACUCCUACGGGAGGCAGCAGUGAGGAAUAUUGGUCAAUGGAGGCAACUCUGAACCAGCCAUGCCGCGUGCAGGAAGACAGCUUUCUGAGUUGUAAACUGCUUUUAUAUGGGAAGAAAAAGGCCUUGCGAGGCAAAUUGCCGGUACCAUAUGAAUAAGCACCGGCUAACUCCGUGCCAGCAGCCGCGGUAAUACGGAGGGUGCAAGCGUUGUCCGGAUUUAUUGGGUUUAAAGGGUACGUAGGCGGAUUUUUAAGUCCGUGGUGAAAGCCUACAGCUUAACUGUAGAACUGCCAUGGAUACUGGGAAUCUUGAAUUCAGUUGAGGUAAGCGGAAUUUAUGAUGUAGCGGUGAAAUGCAUAGAUAUCAUAAAGAACACCAAUUGCGAAGGCAGCUUGCUGGACUUGAAUUGACGCUGAGGUACGAAAGCGUGGGGAGCGAACAGGAUUAGAUACCCUGGUAGUCCACGCCGUAAACGAUCAUUACUCGAUAUCAGCGAUAUACAGUUGGUGUCUAAGCGAAAGUGAUAAGUAAUGCACCUGGGGAGUACGAUCGCAAGGUUGAAACUCAAAGGAAUUGACGGGGGCCCGCACAAGCGGUGGAGCAUGUGGUUUAAUUCGAUGAUACGCGAGGAACCUUACCUGGGCUCGAAUGGUACUGGAAUUAUACAGAAAUGUAUAAGUCUUCGGACUGGUAUCAAGGUGCUGCAUGGCUGUCGUCAGCUCGUG